This 1327-nucleotide long non-coding RNA is filed under the name Mus musculus (house mouse). Its description in RNAcentral is "Jpx transcript, Xist activator". The record is from RNAcentral. Lineage: Eukaryota; Metazoa; Chordata; Mammalia; Rodentia; Muridae.
GCUGUCAGAGAGAUGGCCGCCGUAGCGGUCACCACGCCGACCCGCCGCAGCGGUCACCACUCCGACCGCAUGGUCUGCCGAGCGGGACGAGUAGUCGGCGGCUGGCACUCCGGAUUUCUCCCCUAUUCCGCCCACAAUAGAUGAGUGAUCAGUGCCCACAUCACCGGACCUCCACGGAUGAACCUGUCAGGCUGGGGAGGCUCAUUCCUAGGAGAGAUCGUGUUUUGAGAUCAUUAAUCCACCACUGAAGGAAGUCAGAGCAGAAACUCAAGCAGGGACUUGAAGAAGAAACCAUGGAGGAAUACGGCUUGCUGGCUCACCUAAGGAAGACCACUGAAGCCACCGCAGACAGCAGAACCUCAAUCAGCUUGAAAGAGAAUGGGCUCAACAAAAGAGCAAACUGUCAACAGUGAUGAUGAGGUGCAACAUUCAACUUCACAGUUCUUGGAAUCGUAAGGAAAUUUAAAAGAGUGGACUUCCUGGGAUGAAGAUGAGCCCACUAGUGCAUCGAAGGAGGGAAUGGGAUUGUGGCAACACAGCAGAACUCUUUGGAGCAACUGGAACCUGACUACUUCGAGGCCAUAACUCCAACUAUACAGAAAACUCAGAAAAUUGUCAUUAAGAAGAGAGAACCAUUGAAUUUUGGUGUCCCAGAUGGUAGCACAGGUUUUUCCAGUAGAUUGGCAGCUGCACAAGAUAGGCCUUUUAUUCAUCAGUCUUCAAAAUUAGGUGACUUAGAUACGUGGCAAGAAAAUACCAGUGCAUGGGAAGAGGAAGAAGACGCAGCCUGGCAAGCAGAAGAAGUCCUGAAGCAGCAGAAAAUUUCAGACGGAGAGAAGAGACAGCAGAACAACAAAGGAAGAAAACGGAGAAGGAAGCGCAACGCCCUAUAAAGAAGGAGCAAAGCAAAGUCUGUGUGAAGCUUUCCUAACAGGCUUUGUGAGUCUGGGCGCACAGCCUACACGCAAGCAUUUGCAUGCACUGGACAGUAUUCUCAGAAUACAAACACUCUGCUAGAUCUCAGUUUGUUAUUGAGCUAUCCAGGACACCAGGAUUCUCCCAUAAUACCUUGAACUAUUAGGAAUCAAGACUCAAAACACAAAAAUAAUGAGACAAUUAUUUUCUUCAAUGUGUUCCAAAUAGAAGACAAUUGUUUGCUGUAGAGAAGUUAUUUCAAGAGGAAUAUACCUGACAAGUACCUCUCAAGCUAGUGUUUCUAGAUGAACAAAGGGCUGUAAAUAAUUUUAUGGUGGAAAAGUACCCUGCUACUUACUAUGCUUUUGUUCAUUGUACAUAAUUAUAAAAUAAUUUUAAUGAUCAUUUGUUU